Long non-coding RNA from Oreochromis niloticus (Nile tilapia), 783 nucleotides. RefSeq lists it as uncharacterized. The record is from RefSeq and is a predicted model, not a curated record. NCBI's taxonomy places the organism in Eukaryota, Metazoa, Chordata, Actinopteri, Cichliformes, Cichlidae. The transcript is spliced from 3 exons.
CAGACAGCUAGCAGCUACAGCCGCCUGUGUCAAAGAGGCCACGCCCCUAACAAUACAAACUUCCAGCCUUACACAAUUUAAACAGCCUGACGCAAACUAACGUCCAUGACCACAUGCGAAGCCAGCAUUUCCGUCUUGCCCUCCUGACGUCCAGCCUUCCUGGGCUUCAGUGAGAGAAGCGCAGACCUGAGGUCUCAGAGCUGCGCGGAGCCCUGCAGCCUCCCAGAUUUAUUUCAGCCGAGCAGCUCGGGGCGGUGCCGCCGGCGUUACGAUGACCCCAUACAUCACGCCUCGUGUGAGCACAUAUUAAGUGCUUUUCUCAUCAUCCCCCCCGCCCAUUAAAAGUAAAUAAUCCGUUAAGGAGCGGUCCAAUUCCUCAUACGUGACAGGUAUCUGUUUGUACAGAGCCAGGAAGGUGUGCGAGGAGAGUGAGGAGGAGGAGGAGCGCUGGCGUGAGAGGACUCUGAUUACCUCGCUGUAGCUGCUAAAGUCAGAUGUACGCCCGCUGUGUGACCCCGGCGUUUACAUAAAGCUGCAAAGAAUGGAAGCGUAUGAGAAGUUAGAUUCACUGCCGCUGUGAGCGCACAGGAAAAAAGGACCACUCCAACCACUGCAGCCAGCAAACGCUCAUCUUCCCGGUAAUUAGGCAAAGUAGAGGAUGAUGGCGACCCUGUGACCUUUAACCCCCCUCCUCUCCAUGAUACCGCACAGUGCUGCUGAAACAAGGAGAACUCAAAGACUCGUUUCAACAGGUCAGACAGAAGAGAGGAAGAUUUAACUGCA